This 791-nucleotide ribosomal RNA is filed under the name Salmonella enterica. Its description in RNAcentral is "partial 23S ribosomal RNA". It matches the Rfam family "Bacterial large subunit ribosomal RNA", at positions 774 to 1566 of the family's 2925-position model. The record is from RNAcentral. RNAcentral also lists the same sequence under 1 other name. Lineage: Bacteria; Pseudomonadati; Pseudomonadota; Gammaproteobacteria; Enterobacterales; Enterobacteriaceae.
CCGAACCGACUAAUGUUGAAAAAUUAGCGGAUGACCUGUGGCUGGGGGUGAAAGGCCAAUCAAACCGGGAGAUAGCUGGUUCUCCCCGAAAGCUAUUUAGGUAGCGCCUCGUGAAUUCAUCUCCGGGGGUAGAGCACUGUUUCGGCUAGGGGGCCAUCCCGGCUUACCAACCCGAUGCAAACUGCGAAUACCGGAGAAUGUUAUCACGGGAGACACACGGCGGGUGCUAACGUCCGUCGUGAAGAGGGAAACAACCCAGACCGCCAGCUAAGGUCCCAAAGUCAUGGUUAAGUGGGAAACGAUGUGGGAAGGCCCAGACAGCCAGGAUGUUGGCUUAGAAGCAGCCAUCAUUUAAAGAAAGCGUAAUAGCUCACUGGUCGAGUCGGCCUGCGCGGAAGAUGUAACGGGGCUAAACCAUGCACCGAAGCUGCGGCAGCGACACUGUGUGUUGUUGGGUAGGGGAGCGUUCUGUAAGCCUGUGAAGGUGUGUCGUGAGGCAUGCUGGAGGUAUCAGAAGUGCGAAUGCUGACAUAAGUAACGAUAAAGCGGGUGAAAAGCCCGCUCGCCGGAAGACCAAGGGUUCCUGUCCAACGUUAAUCGGGGCAGGGUGAGUCGACCCCUAAGGCGAGGCCGAAAGGCGUAGUCGAUGGGAAACGGGUUAAUAUUCCCGUACUUGGUGUUACUGCGAAGGGGGGACGGAGAAGGCUAUGUUGGCCGGGCGACGGUUGUCCCGGUUUAAGCGUGUAGGCUGGUUUUCCAGGCAAAUCCGGAAAAUCAAGGCUGAGGCGUGA